UAUUCCUUUGGUUUUACUUAUAGUCCCAGGUGGCAGUGCAGGGCACUCGGAUUGGCAUGAGCCCUGCAGAAGUGAGGCCCUCAGACACCAACAUGGCCCCAGGUGGCAGCCCAGAUGACCACAUCAGCAUGGUCUUCAAUAGUCUCAGGAGCUAUGGACAUCAACACAGACCCUGGAUACAGUGGCUCUUCUGACAUAAGAUAGAAAUUUUGAAUUUUCCUUUAACAAGCAUGCUUGGAUUGAGAAAAGACGAGAACCGUGCUCCAACUCCAAAACCAGCUUUAAUUUUCAAUUUUAUUGGGACUACAAAAAGACCAUUUGCCUUAUAUGUCUGUAGAGCACAGCAGAAACAAACAUUUGGGAAGAUUUAUGAAAUUUUAUCCUGUUGAAAGUGUGCUAUACCAUUAGGCCAAUUUAUUCUUUUUCUUGGGACAUUUUCUCUGGAUGAUUUGGCCUUUUUCAAGUGUCUCAUUUAUCCAGUGGUCUUCAGAUUCCUUAGUUGGAUGCUUUUAUUCUCCUAGAAAUACAAAAAAGAAAACCCUGCUCCAACUCUGACUUUGGGGAGUUUCCCUUUUUGUCAGGUUAUAUCUGAUCAAAUGAAAGGCAAUUGUUACUCCUAUAAGUGAGUUCAGAUUGAAUGGCCAUGUGUUUGAUGAAAUAUUGCCUCUCAUAAUCAUAGGGCUCUCCUGUUCAAAUCUAAUAUUUAGCGAUUUUUAGUGGUAUCCACAGUUUUUCUUCUCCUGUGGAAACAAAAGCAAAAUGUCUUCCCUAACAUAACACAUAUGCUGGUUUCUAUUCUGAGGUCAACACAUCUUUAAAGUAUGUAGGCUGAUUUAAUUCAGCAGUUUUUUUUUCUAUUAUCCAAUGUCUCUACACAGCUGUUGUUCCUUUAGACUAGUAUUUUAAAAAUUUAAAGUUAAUAAAACAUUGUGUAAUCUAUCUCUGGGGGUCUUUAUUACCCCUUUCUGUUUAUUAAGCAUAUCUUCUAAAGUGCAAUUAGAUAUUUCUAUAACUGCUUGUCCUACAGGAUUGUGUGGUAUACCUGUAAUAUCUUUAUGUUGUAAUAUGCAGAAAACGGUUUCAUUUUACUAGAGACAUAUUCUGGAGUGUUCUUAGUUUUCACUUGUACAGGUAUUCCCAUAAUGGGCAUAACUUCUAGUAAAUGUGUAAUUAUAGAAUCAGCCUUUUCAGAACUCAAAGCAGUUGCCCAUUGAAUUGCUGAAUAUGAUUCUAUGGUAUGGUGCACAUACUUUAAUUUUCCAAACUCUGCAAAAUGCAACACAUCCAUUUGCUACAUUUUGUUUCUUUGGGUUAUUUUGUGCUGGUAAUGUAGUUUGGUUAAACAAAGAACAAGUAGGAUAUUUCCUUACAAUUUCCUUGAUUUGUUGCCAAGUGAUAGAAAAAUCUUUCUUUAAACCUUUACUAUUAACAUAGAGUUUCUUAUGAAAUUCUGGGGCUUCUAGCACUUUUCCUGCCAAUAGCUGAUCAAUUUCAUAAUUACCUUGUGUUAGAGGGCCUGGUAGACCUAUAUGGGAUCUGAUAUGUGUUAUAUACAAGGGAUGAUUUCUAUUUCUGAUUACUUUUGUAGUUGAAUAAAUUUCAAAAUUAAAUCUGAAUCAUCUGGAAUACAUUCAAUAGUUUCAAUAUAUAAAACAAUUCAUUUUGCAUACUGAGAGUCAGUAACUGUGAUGGCUAUUAUUGAUUGUCAACUUGCCUAUAUCUGGAAUGAUAAUCCAGAAAUGGAGAGCACACCUGUGAUCCUGAUUGUGAGGCAGGAAGACAACAUGCCUUUGAUCCAGAUCUUGAGGCUGGAUGACACAUGCCUUUAAUCUGGGCCACACAUUCUGUUGGAAGUCUGUAUAAGGACAAUAGAAGAAGGAAGGGUAUGUUCUUUAUCUGAUUGCCCACACCUCCAUCAGCACAUCCAUUCCUUCUUCAAGAUCCCAGAAGACCAGCUGAGACACCAAGCCUCAUGGGACUGAGCAGCUAUUAGAUUCUUGGACUUUCCAUUCACUGCUAGCCAUUGUUGGACUAUAAUGUGUUUGUGAUGGUACAUGAGAUGUUAAUGAACUGAAUCUUUGAAACUGUAAGCCAUCACCUCAAUUAAAUGUUUCUUUGUAA
Molecule: long non-coding RNA, 2121 nt
Organism: Peromyscus eremicus (cactus mouse)
Lineage: Eukaryota; Metazoa; Chordata; Mammalia; Rodentia; Cricetidae
Exons: 2
Source: RefSeq, a predicted model, not a curated record